Molecule: small nucleolar RNA, 106 nt
Organism: Dioscorea cayenensis subsp. rotundata (Guinea yam)
Lineage: Eukaryota; Viridiplantae; Streptophyta; Magnoliopsida; Dioscoreales; Dioscoreaceae
Source: RefSeq, a predicted model, not a curated record
AACCCAUGAUGAGGGCAUUUCCAUAAUAAUUCCUUAUAUCUUUCUCAUGCCUCAUAUAAGUUCUUGCCUUCGUAUUGAGCAAAAUUGUUGAUUUCAAUCUGCAUCU